UACGUAGGGGGCAAGCGUUGUCCGGAAUCAUUGGGCGUAAAGCGCGUGUAGGCGGCCCGAUAAGUCCGCUGUGAAAGUCCAGGGCUCAACCCUGGGAUGCCGGUGGAUACUGUCGGGCUCGAGUCCGGAAGAGGCGAGUGGAAUUCCUGGUGUAGCGGUGAAAUGCGCAGAUAUCAGGAGGGACACCAAUGGCGAAGGCAGCUCGCUGGGACGUGACUGACGCUGAGACGCGAAAGCGUGGGGAGCAAACAGG
RNAcentral lists this ribosomal RNA (253 nucleotides) under uncultured bacterium. Its description in RNAcentral is "partial 16S ribosomal RNA". It matches the Rfam family "Bacterial small subunit ribosomal RNA", at positions 524 to 776 of the family's 1533-position model. The record is from RNAcentral.